AAAUCCUACACUUGUUUUCUCGAUAAACGAAAUCUUGUCCUCUUUUCUUCAUCUGCUUCACCUAAUUUUGUUGCUUCACUGAGUUAUAUUUAUGGUGUUUUUGAUCUGAGACACUGUUAUCAAAAGGGGGAAAAACAAGUUUUAGGAAGAUGGCGGAAAAGCCUGAAGUUCUGGAUGCUGUCUUGAAGGAGACUGUUGAUUUGGAAAACAUACCGAUUGAGGAGGUUUUUGAGAAUCUGAGAUGUACCAGAGAGGGACUUACUGCUACUGCUGCUCAAGAAAGGUUGUCCAUUUUUGGGUACAAUAAGCUCGAGGAGAAAAAG
Molecule: unclassified non-coding RNA, 323 nt
Filed under: Hevea brasiliensis (rubber tree)
Lineage: Eukaryota; Viridiplantae; Streptophyta; Magnoliopsida; Malpighiales; Euphorbiaceae
Source: RNAcentral